CCAGUUCCACCAUGUCUAUAGGUCUGAUUUAAAGAUGUACUUCCUACUUCGUGAUAUAAGCCAGUUCCACCAUGUCUAUAGGUCUGAUUUAUAGAUGUACUUCCUACUUCCUGAUAUAAGCCCGUUCCUCAAUGUCUCUACAGUUUGUAUGUUGGUAUGAACAUAAUAUCUUUCCCGAUGACACACAUCAACACCACUCAGCUGAGAGUUUCUGUCUUUCUGAUUCACACCUAAUAUUAUUAUUAUUAUUAUUAUUAUUAUUAUUUUUUUUUUAUACAAAUACAGCAUCACCAAAUACCUUUCUGUUUUGGACAAGUUGGAUCAGGUUGGAUAGAAAAGACCAGUGGAGGUAUAUAUAUAUAUAUAUACAAUGAAUGAGAGGAGGAUGGCAAGAAGAAAGAGAGGAAAGAGAGAGGAGAAAGGAGAGAGAGAGAGGAAAGAGAGGAGAAAGGAGAGAGAGAGAGG
Oncorhynchus tshawytscha (Chinook salmon) is the source of this 465-nucleotide long non-coding RNA. Lineage: Eukaryota; Metazoa; Chordata; Actinopteri; Salmoniformes; Salmonidae. The record is from Ensembl.